AAGACCUCGCGCUAUUAGAGCGGCCGAUGCCCGAUUAGCUAGUUGGUGAGGUAAUGGCCCACCAAGGCAACGAUCGGUAGCUGGUCUGAGAGGAUGAUCAGCCACACUGGGACUGAGACACGGCCCAGACUCCUACGGGAGGCAGCAGUGGGGAAUUUUGGACAAUGGGCGAAAGCCUGAUCCAGCCAUGCCGCGUGAGUGAAGAAGGCCUUCGGGUUGUAAAGCUCUUUCAGCCGGAACGAAAUCGUCCGGGCUAAUACUCCGGAUGGAUGACGGUACUGGAAGAAGAAGCACCGGCUAACUACGUGCCAGCAGCCGCGGUAAUACGUAGGGUGCAGGCGUUAAUCGGAAUUACUGGGCGUAAAGCGUGCGCAGGCGGCUUUUCAAGUCAGAUGUGAAAUCCCCGGGCUUAACCUGGGAACU
Molecule: ribosomal RNA, 423 nt
Filed under: uncultured bacterium
Lineage: Bacteria
Description: bacterial SSU rRNA
Rfam family: Bacterial small subunit ribosomal RNA
Source: RNAcentral